AUGAGGGAAAUCUUUCAUGGCUCGUAAGUUUUUUCUCCUUGCUUCAAACUUUGUUAAAGUUUUUGUGAAUUUUCUUUUACAAUUGCAAAUUUGUCAUUAGUUCUGUGUGUUUCAUUGGAUAUAUAUUUUCUAUUCGAAAGCAACAUGAUUUUUACAGAAUUAUUAAUGCUUUUAUUUGGAAAGUUUCUACUACUAAAAUAAGUUACCUUUUCAUCAUGCCAGCUAUUGAUAACUUCCUUUCUUAUUAUGAUCAAUCUUGUUCUUUUCAUGCUUGGUAUUCAAUGUUCUGUUUUGAAUUUUGAAUUUUUUUGUCCUGAAAAGGGUAAAAACUAUAUGAGCUACUCGAAUGCUUUUGUUGUGGCAAUGGGAUUGAGGAUCCUGUGGAAAAUCUGUUAUCCCACAUACGAUUAGGAUAGGUAAUGUGCCCCUUAUAAUGUCUUAGGCUCUCCUUCUCCCAUUAGCUAGCUUUCGAGUACGUUAAGCUUGGCCUAUUUUCUUAGGAUGGUAUCGGAGCUUGUCUCUCAUAAGUAUUUCAUGCUCUGGGCGUGAGGGAUGUGUUACCUCAUAUUGGUUUGGAAAAGGGUAAUGUGCCUUGGGCACUCCUCCCCCUUGAGAUAGCUUUUGGAGGUUUCUUAUGAAAAUCUAUACCUUUCCUUGGGUGAGUAUUUGAUUCUUUUCUUACUUCUAUGAAAGGAUGUGAAUACCCACCCUUUAGAGGGUUGAAUCUCAUAUAUUGAUGUAUAAAACGACUGUACAAGAAUACAAGCAUUAGAGUCCUAUAUAAUUCUAAUGAGUAGAAUACAAAAUUAAGUAUGCAAUUAACUGCUUUUAUUUACUAAGAAUAGCAUGCUAGAGAUGUUGCCUCUUCUUAGUUUAUAAAAGCAAUAACAAUAUCAAGGAAAACAUAACCCUAUUGUAAUCACCUGUCUAAUGUCAGGCUGCAGCAGAAGCAGAACCUGCA
RNAcentral lists this unclassified non-coding RNA (961 nucleotides) under Hevea brasiliensis (rubber tree). Lineage: Eukaryota; Viridiplantae; Streptophyta; Magnoliopsida; Malpighiales; Euphorbiaceae. The record is from RNAcentral.